UUAUGAAAAAAGAGGCAGUCAGAAUUUCCGAUAAUUCUUUAUUAGCACUUUCAUCCAUUCGUGAGGAUUUUUCAAAAUUUUAUAGAAAGUUUCUUGGUUUUUAUACAAAUAGAGAAGAGAAAAGAGAAAGGAAGGGAGUACUUGAAUACUCACAUUUGGCCCUCUCCAAACAUGUCAUUCUGUAUGAAAUCAAUCAACAUUGGAGUGAAUGUAUGUUUCCAUUUUAAAAUGGGCUAUGGACCUUUUGGGUUUAUUUCAUACUUUAUAAUUGUGACUGCUCUUACUUAAGGAUCAUUUUCUCAAUCCUCAACUUAAACUGAAAACACCUUCAUGGCAUAAAAAAUAUACAUACAUACAGAUGUGCAACAGUGUAUACAUUUGUGAGUGUGUGCAUGUGUAUAUGUAUGUGUGGAUAUAUGCAUAUAUGCAUGUGCCUGUUUAUAUGUAUGUAUGUGUGCGUAUGAUCAUAUGUAUGUGUGCAUGUAUGUAUAUAUACAAAUAUAUAUGGAUAUAUAGGCAUAUUGCUUUACAUGUAGGUGUGUAUGCAUGUGUGUAACAUGUGAGCAUAUGUAUAUAUUUACAAACAUAUUAAUAUGUAUAUAAGAGGAGAGAGAGAAGGAAGGAAAAAAAGAAAGGUGCCUGGGGUGUAUUGUGUGUGUGUAUGUUUAAAGUUUAUGUAUAUGAAUGUUUGCAAAUGUAAAUAUGUAUAUAAUAAGAGAGGCAUGCUUUCAAGACCAAUAACUAAAUAAAAAUUGACAUCUUAAAUUGUAAUUAAACGUCAACAGACUGACCACAUAGAUAUAAUAGAAUUGAAAAGAAGCCCUUUUUGCUUCAUCACUUUCAUUUUACUUCUCUUUUCUUUGUCUUUCCCUUUUGUGCUCCUUCCUGUCUUUUCUUCUUCCUUUCUGUAAAAAACAAAAUUGACAUCUUGAAAUAUUAUUAGUCACCUGUUCACAGACAAUCCCCUAAAAUAUAUAUUCUCCCUCUCUCUCUCCUCCUCUAUUCCUUCCUCUUUUCUCUUUCACCUCUUCUCUUCAUUUGUAUAAAAACCAAGAAACUUUCUAUAAAAUUUACUUUGAAAAUUCGUCAUGAAUGGUUGAAAGCACUUAUAAAGAAUUAUCCAAAAUUCUGACAGUCUCCUUGUUCUUAAUAUGCAAUAUCUGUUCAUCUCUUCAAACACUCCAUACAUAUUUAUUUCAAUGUCCAAAAUGUCAGAAUAAAUGGAUCAGAAUCAAACUCGUAACUGAGAGAUACCAGAAACAUGGAAGAACUUCUCACAGAAAUAUCUACUCCGUGCCUUAAUUCGAAUAUCCUAUGAAGAUGAAGAACUUUAUUCUCGCAUUUAUUUAUAGACAGCAUUUUGGCAACGGAUCGGAAACGGCCUUUCCUGAACAGUGGACUUCGUUUUUCAGCCAAAACUGAGUUGUUGACCCACAAGAGUCAGCUGAGUUAUACUUUUGGUGAAAAUACUGUUUAAAGUGUCAAGAUAUAUCAAAUAAAGCAAUUCAAAGUGCAACUGAAAUUGAGGAGCUCCCUACUUUUGCAGGUUUGUGAAAUCAGAAAAGGGAACCAUUUAGGAUUCUUGAGAGUUAUUCAAGAGGUGUAUUUAAAGAUAGUUGAUAUUUGAAGAAGAAAAAAAACAAAAAGGCAAUAUCAAUUAUAUAGAGAAAAAUUUAAAUGUGAAAAUAUUUCAGUUUUUCACUACACAAAUUACAUAAUCUCUUAUUCUUCUUGUAGGGAAAAAAAGAGAAAGCAAAAAUUGAAAAUAAAGAAAAGCAAAACAAACAUUUAAAGGUUGCAAGUUAAUAAAAAAAAUAUAUACUUCUAAAAAUUAACUCACUGAAUGGUAUCUGUUUUAAACAAUAUAGACUUGUGUAAAUGUAUACAAGCAUGCACACAUAUUCAUAAAUAUGGAGUUACACAUACAUUAUUGCUUGUACGAAUGUCUGUUAUCUGCCAGUAUAUUUAAAUUUUUGAAUUGAGCAUGAAUGUGUUCAUGUAUUUAGUGUUUCUAUAUGUGUGCAUAUGUUGGUGUGUUUCUAUAUUUGUGCAUAUCUAUCAUUAUGUAUGUAUCAUUUUACAUACAAACACAUGCACAGAUAUACCACACACACAUAUAUUUAUCCUUAUAAAGCUCUGUGUGUAUGUAUGUGUGUCUGCAUGUAAAAAGGAUUUUUUUGUAUGCAAGGAAAAAAACGUGGAAAAUUGGAAAACAUCUACACUAAAACUGAGAAGAUCUCAGGAAAAAAAAAUCAGUGAAAUCCAACCUACCAAUAACUAUUUUAAAAAAUCCAUAAUCAGAUUAAAUUUUUUUCUAUAAGCUGUGAUAUUUUUGCGAUGCCUUGGAUCUUCCUAAUUUACUGAAUGGAAUCAUAAGGUGCGGAUAUUACCGGAAUGCUAUUACCUUUGCAACAUAUUUUACAACUAAUACAGCGAGAGGAUGUUGAUGAUUUUGAUGACAUUAGUGAUGUGAAAGAAAACUGCAGUGGCUAUCAGAGUAUUUUUAUCCUGAUAUCACUGCUGUGAAUGAUCAGAAAUCUAUGUCAUCUGCAGUUGUACCGCCAAUUCAUGUAAACUAAUAAUCAAAAUUCCCAGAUGCAUGUGUAAAUAUAUACAUGUAUAUAUAGAUAUAUGCUUAUAUGUCUAGAUGUGCAUUUGGGUAUGGAUUUAAACAUUAAUAUGUCUAUAGGUCUUUCUGGAUGAACAUCUAUAAAUGUUAAAUUAGGUACAAAAAUCUAUAAAUUCAUAAGUUUACAUAAGAAUAUAUACAUGCAUCUAUGUGUGUGUGUGUGUGUAAUAAAUACAUAUAUAAAGCAAACACUCUCAUAUUCCAUAUACAUACAUACAUUCUACACAAAUGCACAUCCAUAUUUAUUCAUUUAUCCACUUUUGUCACCCUGUUUCUUUAUUUGACUGUCUGUCUUUCUGUGUUUACAUAUAUAUGUAUAUGUUAGAUUUAUGCUCAGAAUCUAGUGGACAACUUGUACGUAUGUUAAUGUAUUUUAAUUGUAUACAUAGACAAAUAAACAUCCAUUUUAAGCAUACAUACACAAACAUAUAAUUACUUCUCUUUCAUUCAUUCACAUUCUCUCAUUCAGACACACACACACACACACACACAUGCACACACAUAUACACACAUGUGUGUGAGUGUGUAUUUCCUGUUUACUUCAUGUUUAUAGAUAUUUUAUUGUGCCACUAAAGCUGUUCAACAAU
This is a long non-coding RNA of Octopus bimaculoides (California two-spot octopus), 3216 nucleotides long. RefSeq lists it as uncharacterized. NCBI's taxonomy places the organism in Eukaryota, Metazoa, Mollusca, Cephalopoda, Octopoda, Octopodidae. The record is from RefSeq and is a predicted model, not a curated record.